RNAcentral lists this ribosomal RNA (303 nucleotides) under uncultured bacterium. RNAcentral describes it as "bacterial SSU rRNA". It matches the Rfam family "Bacterial small subunit ribosomal RNA", at positions 355 to 674 of the family's 1533-position model. The record is from RNAcentral.
UCGGGAAUAUUGCGCAAUGGAGGAAACUCUGACGCAGUGACGCCGCGUAUAGGAAGAAGGUUUUCGGAUUGUAAACUAUUGUCGUUAGGGAAGAUACAAGACAGUACCUAAGGAGGAAGCCCCGGCUAACUAUGUGCCAGCAGCCGCGGUAAUACAUAGGGGGCAAGCGUUAUCCGGAAUUAUUGGGUGUAAAGGGUGCGUAGACGGAGAAACAAGUUGGUUGUGAAAUCCCUCGGCUCAACUGAGGAACUGCAACCAAAACUAUUUCCCUUGAGUGUCGGAGAGGAAAGUGGAAUUCCUAGU